Molecule: ribosomal RNA, 4784 nt
Filed under: Triticum aestivum (bread wheat)
Lineage: Eukaryota; Viridiplantae; Streptophyta; Magnoliopsida; Poales; Poaceae
Description: partial small subunit ribosomal RNA
Rfam family: MIR1120/MIR1122 microRNA precursor family (bases 3512-3646)
Source: RNAcentral
CUUGUCCGAAGCCAGUGAUCAAUAACACCACACUGUCAGAGCAGCUUCACUGCGAGCUAGGCAUCUCUAAUCCAAUUAACCUGAUCGCCGCCAUGGCCGCUCCUACCUUUCUGCACCGCCUGCUCGCCGUCUGGCUCCUCUCCUGCGCCGCCCACGCGCAGCUCUCGACGACCUUCUACUCCGCCUCCUGCCCCAACCUGGAGGCCAUCGUGCGGGCGGGGAUGAACAAGGCCAUCCGCAACGAGCGCCGGGUCGGCGCCUCGCUUCUCAGGCUCUUCUUCCACGACUGCUUCGUCCAGGGCUGUGACGGCUCGGUUCUUCUCGACGCCGGCGGCGAGAAGCAAGCCGCACCGAACAAUGGGUCCAUCCGUGGCUUCGGUGUCAUCGACGCCAUCAAGGCCAGCGUGGAGGCCGCGUGCCCCGGCGUCGUCUCCUGCGCCGACAUCCUCGCGCUCACCGCGCGCGACGGGACGUUCCUGCUGGGCGGGCCGACCUGGAGAGUGCCGCUCGGCCGUCGCGACUCGACGACGGCGAGCCGGGCUCUGGCCAACGUGAACCUCCCGCCGCCGACCGCCGGCUUGGCCACGCUGAUCUCCCUGUUCGGCAGGCAGGGGCUCUCGCCGGCCGAGAUGACGGCGCUGUCGGGCGCGCACACCAUCGGCCUGGCGCAGUGCCUGAACUUCAACGCCCGCAUCUACAGGGACGCCAACAUCGACCCGUCCUUCGCGGCGCUGCGGCGGCGGACGUGCCCCAGCUCCGGCAACGCCAACCUGGCGCCUAUCGACGUGCAGACCCCCUCGGCGUUCGACGCCGCCUACUACCGGAACCUGCUGGCGAAGCGCGGCCUGUUCCACUCCGACCAGGCGCUCUUCGACGGAGGGUCGGAGGACGCGCUGGUGCGGCAGUACGGCGCCAACCCCGCGCUCUUCCGGACCGACUUCGCCAAGGCGAUGGUGAAGAUGGGCAACAUACAUCCGCUCACCGGAAGCGCCGGCGAGAUCAGGGCCAACUGCCAUGUCGUCAACAGCUAGCUCAUCCGAUGAACCGACUGGUAUGUACUACUACUACUAAAAGGGGCCGCGCGCACCCAUAGCGUUCUUCGGCCCAGUUCUUUUGGCCGAUUCUCCCAGAAUCUUAAGAAUCGAUCCUUCACCCAACUUCUUCCGGAAUCUUGAACCCGAUUCUCAAGAUUCUGGGGAAUUCUCUCAUCUCGUUCAAGAAGACGUAUAUCCCCUCGUUAGGAUGUGGAUUUAUGCUGCCCAAUUGUUUAGAGUUUGUCUCGCACCAUUUUGCAAUAGUGAUAACGAUGUGUCUGUUGUUGUCAAUCCUUUUCACAGAUGUUUGGCUGGGCAAUGGAGCAUGCUAUUCCAUGAACAUGAUGAAUGCUAUUAUGUUAAGGGUUUAUAUAAGUCUCCUGCAAAAAAAAUGUUAAGGGUUUAUUUUUAUUUUCGAGAGUACAAGGGUUUAAGUUUAGGUUGUCCGAUUGACCAUUUGAUAAAUGUUUGGACAAUGAAAUGGGCUACUCCAUGAACAUGCUGAAUAUUACUAUGUCCAUGCAUUUAAGUUGUUGUCCAUUGAUCACUUGAUAAAUGUUAGAGGUAUUUUGCUUUCUCUUAGGCCUCUUCCAAUGCAAAUGUGCUUAGAUGAGGUGCUAAGUGCAUUAAAUAGCUUAUCAACUUAACUCCCCAAUAUAUAGGUGCUUAACUUAUUGUUGCUAAGCUCGUUUUAUUUAAUGAGUUAACACCUAAAGUCUUUCAUGCAUUGGUCAAGUUGUUUCAUUUAAGUGGUUUGCUUAGGUUCACGCGCUUGGCAUUGGUUCUUUCUGGGGUCAUCAAAAUGCUCUCUCCCCUCCUUAAUUGUUGUGCCAUGUCAUUUUUUUUGCUUAUGUGACAUGCUUAGCACAUGAUGGAGCACUAAGAAAGGCCUUAAGCUACAGGUUUGUCAUGGUGCUCUUUGGUUUACUAGUAAGUGUGCACGUGCAUUGCGUGUCUUCACUAAUAUUUCAGGUAGAUGCGAGAAUUUACUUCUCCAUCAUAGUAAACACUUGUUUUUUUAAAGAACAUAAUCUACAUAAAUUCACUUUGGCACAUGAAAGCAUAUGCUCUUGCCAUCGGAAAAACAUUUUAAAAUGUCAAAAAAAUUCUGAACAAAAAUUUGAUGUGUACCUUUUAAUAUUCUAUGUGCGCACGCCAAGUUUUUGUGGAAAACCGGCAUUUUCUGUGACUUGCGUAAAAAAGACAAAGAAAUGUCGUGAAAAGCCAUUUUUAACACUGAAUUUUGUCUUUUUCACACGCGACAUAAAAGCUGUUUUUUUCGUAAAACGACUUUGCGAGCACAUAGAAUGUCGAGGUGUACGCGCAAAACAUUUUGCCAGAAUUUUAUGACAUUUCAAAAUACGUUUCCAUGAUGUACUAAUAUAACAGAGUCAAUAGAGAUGUUUAGCAAUGUAAGAAGACGAUUAUCCGUGCCUGCUACCUACUUUUUGAAAUAAAUCCAGAUACUUUAUUUAUUAAAAAUAACCAAUACAUCGUUUAUGAGGACUGUUACGAUUUCAUUUAAGGCUUUCUCAGAUCAAUCAGAAAUCAAAGAAAAUCUAGCUAAUCUAGUGACCUCAUGAGCAAUUUUAUUUGCUUCUCUAUUACACGUGCCUGCUACCUAGUACUAGGUUUUCAUGGAACAGAGACAGUCUCCUCUCUAAAUAAAGACGAAAAAAAUUCCAUUGUCAGAAAAAGACAAAAUAAAAAUCCCAAUCAUUUGUGGAAAUAACCACAACUAAAAAAAGACAGAACUUGCCAAAAUAAAAAAUGCAUAUGGAAAACAUUAUGAACUUGCCAACGCAACAAUGAAUGAAAAGAUGUGGCUAUAUCUGGGUGUGCUACACCCGGGUUUACAGAAAAAGCUAAAAACACACGUAUCAAGCGUGUUCCAAAAAAAUAUUCUGAAACUUUACAAUAUCAAACAUGAUAAAGUGCAGUUGUUGCAAAAUUUCAUCCACAAAAAAACAUUCGAGAUCUCGGAGAAAAAUCACUGGUCAAUGUUUUGUGCACCUUUUGAGUACAUGCUUUUUCAAACAAAAUAUGUAGGCCGAGCUGAGGCUAGUCACGAUCCAAACAAACCGCAUUCUUCACGGCUAGCCGGGCUGAACGCUCUGCAUCCAUCCCAACACGUACGUUCCUCCCCCGUCCGUCUGAGGCGGUAAAAUGUCAAGGUGUGACUGACCCAAUAUCAUUGAAGGCUUUGGCUUGUCGAGAGGCGCUCUCACUUGCCCUUGAUUUAUCACUUGCAGACAUACAAAUAGCUUCAGACUGUCAAGGCGUAAUCAAAGAUAUCCAUGAAACUACUGGUGGGCUACACUCUAGCAUUAUUAAGGAGAUCAAUCCUACAAUCCUAGCAGUUCUCUUGUUGUCCUUUCAUCUUUGAAGGAAGAGAAACUAAUCUUGAGGCACGUAGCCUUGCUAAGCAUACUCUAGAACUUUCUUUAGGACGCUAUAUGUGGGCCCUUAAUCCUUCGGAUCUACUCCCUCCGUCCGGAAAUACUUGUCAUCAAAAUGAAUAAAAGGAAAUGUAUCUAGAUGUAUUUUAGUUCUAGAUACACCCCUUUUUGUCCAUUUUGAUGACAAGUAUUUUCGGACAGAGGGAGUACAUUGUAUCCCUAUGAGCUCUUACUAGCAAAAAUGCUCGUGGGUUGCAACGGGUGAACAAAACAUAUCACAACCCAUCCCUCCUCGCCAAUGCACACUUGUCUCCGUCCUUUAUUUCAACACAAUACCCCACAUGUAUUGCCGCUUAUAUUCCUUUCUACCCUCAUCAAAGAUGGCAGUGAUUUCCACCUUCCGUCAUAUUCUAAAUCCUGCUAAAAAAUCCGAUGCAAAAAUAUACUUCGUAAAAUAUCAAGAUAUGUCAGCUCAGUCUCUUGAAGAUACUCAUAGGGGUAGGGUAUGCGUGCGUGAGUUGUUAGGGGUGAGUGUAUGCUCGUGUAUGUGAGCGACUUCGAUUGUACUGUGUUAAAAAAGAGUAUAGUGGGGGAAAUUCAGUAAUGGUUAUCCAAAAUAAGUAACAUGCACAUUUGAAGUUUUCCGUGCGUUGUAACGAGAAAACAAAACAUAUUACAUUGCAUCCCUUCUUGCCAGUACACACUUGUCUCUAUCCUUUAUUUCAACACAAAAUCCCCACAUGUAUUGCCGCUUAUAUUCCUUUUUUCCCUCAUCAACCUGCUAGAAAAAAAAUCUGAUGCAAGAACAUAAGAGGUCAACUAUAGUGGGGAAUUCGGUGAUAGGUAUCUGAAAAUAAGUGACAUACACAUUUGAUGUUUUUCGUGUGUUGCAACAGGAUAACAAAACAUAUCACAUCCCAUCCCUCCUCGCCAAUACACACUUGUCUCUGUUCUUUAUUUCAACACAAUACCCCACAUGUAUUGCGACUUAUAUUCCUUUUUGCCCUCGUCAAUGGCGGUAGUGACGUCCACCUUGCGUCAUAUUCUAAAUCCGGCUAGAAAAAUCUGAUGUGAGAACAUAAGGGGUCAACUAUAGUGUAGUAAUGGCUAUCCAAAAAUAAGUGACAUGCACAUUUGAAGUAUGUUUGCUUGAUGCAAUAAAAUCUCUUGUGGCAUGUGUAUAACAACUUCUGACUUGUAGUCAUAUGUUUAUUCAAAAACAUGUGUACAAUCAAAUCCUCUUGAAUCUAGGUGAAGCCUUCUACUUGUGGAUGAACUCUAACAGUAAAUAACCGCAGGAUUGUUUAUAUGUACGAAUAUCAAUCAUCAAAGUAGCAACACAAUGUGAUUA